GCUCCAUGCAACGCUGCUCAGCUUAGUUUUCAAGUUGAAAGUAAGUUUUCCUAAUCUUAAAACUCUGUAAUGGGAAACGUGAAAAACUAAACUUAGUUUAUUCACAACUUACUGUAGUGGGAUCUUUAACUGUCGGUAUAACCAUCACUGUGGGUAAUAUUGUGCCGAAUUCCCCUCGCGUCGGGUCAAUAAAUGAGAAUUACAUAACUACUUAUUAAACUAUGGCCAUUUAUUUGGUUGAUUGUAACCAUGUGAUCUUGUCUGAAUGAAAGUUUCCGAUUUACUGAGAGUGCAACGGAGUGCAUUCCGUUACACUCUCAGUCACUCAGUUUUGUUCCAUUGCACGGUUUGCAAUUAUCACUAACAAAAUUACAUCCGCCAAAAUCUUAAUCCGCCUUAAUCGCAGUUGAAUUAGCAAUAAUUUUCACAUAUUGAGUACCAUGGAAUUUACACGCGAAGGCGCUUAUACAAGAAUCGCGAAAACAAACCGUGAUUCUGUACGAACAAAACCGCGAGACCAUCUGUGUUUCCGAGAAUAUUAACAAAAUAAUUUACUUAUUUACCUGACGUGGCGCCUGGCUCAAGCCAUCUCCCAUAUUUGUACUUGUUUAUAACGCUUUGCACGUCAAUUUCUGUUGUCAUUAGAAAUGCCAAUUUUUGACUGAACAAGCAGUUUAAAUAUGUUUGAAGCGAAACCAGGAUUAUUCAUAAUAAGUUUUUAGACGUUCUCUGGUUUUUAAAUAUUUAUUAUUACGAGCUUUCGACUUGGCGUCUGCAGUCUUCAACGGGUGGAUUACAAUAAUCCACCCGUUGAAGACUGCAGACUGGCAGCACAGGGGGCAGAAAAGUACGAUUGUGUUUUAUAAAUACCUUGUCAUCAACCAAUAUCCCAUAUUUAUAUCACAACAAUCCGCAGACAUAGUCAUAAAAGGAUCAAAAUUAGCUGAUUUUUAUUUUUUCGAUAAUAUCAUGCCUUCUACUUCAAACAUAUUGCAUUGCAACGAUAAUUUCCGAACAUCUUACGAAAGGAUGCCGAGGGUGUAACCCGUACAUAAAUAAGAAAGGGAUGAAACGCCGAAAAUCUUUCGUUCAAUGUGCACCGCAACAACUGGUGACGGAAGUAAAUUUGACAUUGUAACCGGAAGUAGAACGGAAGUUGAAGGAAAAUUGACCUAUCAUCUUCCAUGACCUUUUAAUCGAAUUAUUUGAAUGACAAUAACAAAUUUUAAAAAAUAUUGCGAAAUUCAAACUCAAAUUAGUCAAAUAUUAAUAUGGAACGUUUUGUCAACUAAAAGAAAUGCGAAUCACCCGAUUCAAAAGCAACACACGCUCUUGUAUCUAGAUGGUAUAAAGCUUUUCAAUAAUUUUAAAACAAUUAUUCUUGAAUCGAUCAACCGUACGUGAAUAUAUCCACGACUUUGAACUUUGUUUAAUAUGACUGUAUAAAUCCAAACGGCAGUCUAGAAAACCGGCCACGAUUUAAACUCGUCUUCGCCGUGUGUGCAGACUUAAGAUAUAUCAAUAGACUAUUUAAAUUCAUAAAUAAACUACAUGCACUUAUGGGGCGAAAAAAAUGGCAGUAAAUUUAAAUAAACUCUGAAACGGUUUCGUUAAUUCGGUUAAUAUAGACCUUUUUGUAAUAUAAAUACCGGUGCAUUUUGGCUUGUAUUUUGUAGGCUUUGUAUGAAUUAUCAAAUAAGUGACAAUUCUUUCAAUAAGUGACAAUUCAGUUCAAGGAGAAUUCAGUGACAAUUCAAUGAGUGACAAUUUAUAUUAUAUGAGCAUAUUGUUAUUUAAUUUUGAAACUGUAUACUAAUCAUAAAAAUACUGUAUGAGCUUGUCAUAUAUUUAAUAUAUAUGAUUAACAAUAUGAUUAUAUGAAUCAGUUGGAAAAAUAGUUUUCGUCAUGCGCAAUAUAUUUUAAGUGCGUAACUACGUCACUUCCGUCACCACCUGUUGCGGUGCACGUUGAAACAAAAUAAGCCAAAAUUGUAGUCCCAAAAAUUUCGGUUUAAUAACCGUUUCUUAAAAUUUCCUUGUACAGGUAUGCUAAGUGUAUCAUAUCUAAACUUUAUCCAAAAAAUAAAAGGUUUUGGUUCAGAAACACGCCAGUUAUAUCCAUUCGAAAUAUUUCACGAUCGGGGGUUUCAUCCCUUUCUAUUAUUUGUACGUGUAAGCAAAGUCAAUCGUUCUAGUAUGAGCCCACGCUACUAUGGUCAGUCCUUGUAAUACAAUGUUUGAAUUACAUGAAGUAGUAGGCAUGAUAUUAUCGAAAAUCAACAUAAUUUUCAUCGUGAUGAAACCUGGAUGAAACUAUGCGAUAUAUUGGUUGAUGACAAGUAUUUUAAAUAAACACAAUCGUACUUUUCUGCCCCCUGUGCUGGCAGUCGAAAGCUCGUAAUAAUAAAUAUUUAAAAACCAGAGAACGUCUAAAAACUUAUGUUAUGAACAAGCAGUGUUCUUUUACUUGGUAUAUUACGUGUGAAGCGAAAUGGCGGGUGCAAAAGAUAUUAUUACCACUUCGUUUUGGGUGCCAAAUCAAUUGCGAGUCGAUACAGCAAUUCUACAUAUGAUACAAUGACACGAAUAUCACUAGACCAAAAGAUAGCUAUAGUAUUGCUCAGAAAUAACCUAACACUGCGUUCGCGUUCCGAACGCGUUCCAAACGCGUUCCGAACGCGGGCGGAAGGCGGUUGAAACGCGGUCGGAACGCGGUUGGAACGCGUUCCAGAGGAAACUUGGAAACGCGUUCCCCAAUUUGGCUAAAAACCGCGUUCUCGCAUCGGAAAAUCCCGACACCGAAUGAAACAUGAGCUACUGUAGGGUUUGACAGUUGACAACUCAGUAUGAGCAAUUCAUAUCUUGACAGUUGACAACUCAGUAUGAGCAACUCAGUAUGAGCAACUCAAAUCCCGGGCUGAAAUACCAGCCCGGUUUGAUCCAGACUGAAACUCGACACAGACCGGGCAGCAUGUAAUCACAAAUAAUUUUUAAAAAAUCGUCUUAAUGGCUUUGUUUAGCGUGUUUGUUUCAACUGUAUAUGUUACCAUAAACACACAAAUCAAAUGGCCGAAAAUGCUUCAAAUCGCGAUCGUGUCUUUCAACCCGAGCUAGAAAGUUGUGUGUUGUGCACGGGCUACAUUUCAGCGAUUUAACAACAUGGGAUGGAAAUAAUUCCGACUAAAACUCAACCGGCUCAAACUGCUCACGGGCAAUCAAAUAGAUCGCUAUCAAACGUGCUGAAGCAAGCGUAUCAUGUAGCAUACUUGCUACAGUUUAUUUCAAAUUGUCGCCGCUUGUGUAAUUUUUUUACGCAUAACUAAGUCAUAACACACAAUUAUAAAGUAUAAACAUUUACAAUUAGUCAAAAUACUAGUGACUGUGACAUUUUUGACUGCUCAACAUCUCGGGUCGAUUUAUAAUAAGUGCAUGCUUGCAAUAUACAUUUACUAGCAAUUGUACCAACUUAUGAUGAUGUUCCCUUACUGUGGCACGCGAAUACACGCAUAUCAGCAAUAAACAUCGCUUGCGUAAAAUGAAGAUCAUUAAUUUUAGCAUUCUGUGAUGGGGAUCGAGAUAUUAAUAUUCGUUAAUUCAAAAUAUCAAAUUCAAAUACAAGUUGUAAAAUCAACUUAUUGUUUAUACAUAUAAAAAGGGCGCAUCCUAUAUUAAAAGGGCAUAAUUUAGUAUGUGCAAUAAUCUUUCGUGCUAUUUAUCAGUACCGCGUCGCGUGUGACCUUUUAUAAAUAUAUUGUAGGCCGGCUAGUAUGGCAUAACAUACUAUGGGGGGAGAGCCGCCUACUAUGAAUCUCAGGGCAAGCGAAAACGCGGAUAGAGACUAGAGUCGUAGGAUAUUUACUUGUAAAUGUUCCCUAACGUAUUAAGUGAGUGUCAAUUCAAUUUACAGUCGAAUAAACAUACAGAAAUAGACAAAUAGACACACGUGCGUUGAAAUAUUUUUUUAGGAAUAUAGCUAUGACUUACAAGGCCCACAUUUGUUUGUAUUUUUGUCCGUUUUGAUUGACCGAAACGGUGAAAGGUUAUUAUCACGCUAAAAGUUUCCCUUCAAUCGCUGCUUAUGUGUUGUGUGAGAAAGAUCAAGUUGCUAUUACGUAUAUUAAAGAAUUGUAAGUGAUGCUAAAGUAAAGGCAAACUUUGAACGAGAGAUGAAAAUUAUCCUUUUCAACUUCAUAAGUAAAUUUGUAAAAACAAAGAAGCCAAUCAACUGUUGUUACAAUAUUGUCUGUUAAUAUUGACCGAAAGCCGGCCAAAGGCAAUGGUCAUGUUUUCAACAACAACUGAAAGAUAGCCAUUUAUUGUUAACAAAUAACAAUUCUAGGGUUAAUUUCUUCUUUUCUGGCAAAUAUUUAUUAAUUUGAGACUGAUUUCAGUUCGUAAUUUAUCGACAAGUCAGAAUAUUAUUAAAAAGCAUGUUUUACGCAAUAAUUUUCCCAGCAAUAAUUCCCCCCCCCCGGUAUUUUUUUUCGAAUUUUUAACAAAUUAAGAAUUUUUAGUGUUCUGGUGUUCCGUGUUCCGGAAUGAUGCUGCUCCGGUGUUCCGUGUUCUGGUGUUCCGUUGUUCCUGGUUUUACUAAUAGCCAUUGGAACGCGAAUGGAACGUAAAUGGAACGCAAAUGGAACGCAUUUAGGAACGCGUUCCGAACCGGAACGCGUUUUCUGUUAGGUCAUUUCUGAGCAGUACUGUACGAAACAUGCAAUGUUUUUUAAUUUUUUAAAAUAUACACUGUCAACUGUAAAACAUUUGCAAAAUUGUACAUAAAAGUUUAAUAAACGUUUAAAAAGUUGUUUACGUCUCAAGAAAACGAUCACGUUCUUAGUUUUUUUCACAUGGACACCUUGGCUGUCCAUGGCACUCAAAUAAAUCGAAAAGUUGACAAAAAUAAAAGCGACGCUUUUAUAUAAGGGUAAUUUCUCGAGUUACACAAGUUUUUUUUACAAUUUCAGUUGCAUUUUACUCACGAUUGUUAUCGGUUACCGAUCCUCAAAUUUUGACCACAAAUUAUAAAUUUAGUAAAUGUUAUAUAUUUCAAAUUUUAAAAAAUUCUUUACAGUAGAAAUUUUGUUAUAAAAUUUUCGCUUUUAAAAAUAUCGCGCUGUAAAGAAUUUUAUUACAUUAGUUCUCGACAGUUGCAGGGAUCGUACUCAUGAAUGUGAAUUAAAAAAGAUAGGUCACCAGAUUUAUUUUUCAGAUACAAGACAAUUUUGUGGCUAAAAUAAGCCGGCUUUAUAGCUUUGCCAGUUCGCCAUGUUGCCAUGGCAAGAGUGACAUUAUCAAAGCCGAGUUGUAAAUAAUCCACUUAUGUUAUACAUUGUCUCCAAGUAGAAACGAAUGUACGAUCUGCAUUAAUAGGCCUGUACUGCAGAGAUGUUGGGAAAUAGGGUCAACUGUAGGGAGCCUCCUUAAAUGAACACCAUUACUGCAUCACUCUAAAACAACUCUGGUUGAAAGUCGUAUUUGACCUAUUAAAUGAAUAUUCCUGGUUAAUUUUAACCUUUUGCCCAACUAAAUUGACCAGAAUUAACGUUCUGAGGCCGGCGUUUAACUUAAACGGUGUUUAGCCGCUAACCAGCGUAUAAAUUUCUUAUCCAGCGGAUAGUUAAACGGCCGAUAAAAUUGCGUUGUACGAAGCCCGUUUAGUACCGCGUUUAACUAUCCGUAGGAUAACUUUUAAUUUAACCGGAGAAAACCGGAUUUUCUUGAAAUUUCUUACCUCUACGUCAGCUGUUGCUAGGCCUUUGUAAACUUUUGAAGCUUUACCUAACUUGUGAAUUCCACUAAGCUUUUGUAAAGUUUGUUGUUGUUUAUAUUUGGAGUUUGCUCGUCCAUUCGUUGCAAUUCUAUAUCAAACUUUUCAUUUUCAUAUUGUGCUGAGUUUCUUUAAAGAUUUUUGGCUUCUUUAUGCGAAGAGUCGAAGGCAAUAGCAAAAACUGUGAGUUGUGUUUGGCUUUUGUCAGUUGAUUCAGUUUUACACUGUUUGAAAUUUGUUAUUUUGUUCCUCGAAUUUGUACUUUUGUCUAAAAAAAUUUUAGGAACGUUCUGUCCCAAGUUUUGAUUGGCUGAUCAAAGCGAUUAACGCAAGCGAACAAAAUUUUUCGACUUUCGGCGUCUUGUUGUCUAUUUUGUAUACUUGUUGACUUUCCAAAGGGCAAAGUCAGUAUACUUAACGUCUAAACAUUGACACUGGUGUGCGCAGAUAUAGCAAAGCCACGGAAUUUAAUACAAGUGAGCAAGUGACCUUGGUGUACCUCAAGACCAAGCCAGUUAAAAGUGAGUUUUUCAUGUUUAUUGGAUUUAAAAAGAUAACUUCUCUACAUAAUUGUGCAUUUCAAUAACUAUCCCAUGCUCUUUCAACCGAAAUAAUCAUUGUUUUAUCUUCAAACUCCAAGUUUAUCCGCCGUAUAGCGAUUUAAACGGUCUCAAGAGACCGUUUAAAUUUACACGUUGGAUAGGCGAAAUUUAACCGGUGGAUAGCGCUAAACGGGCUUCGUACAACGCGAUUUCUCGAGCGUUUAAAUUUUAUCCGGCGGAUUGCGAGUUAAACGGUGGAUAACGACUUAAACGCCUUUCGUACAACCGGCCCCAGGUUAAAUUAACUGCAUGCAGACUAUGGUGGAUAAAAGAUAAACGCCAUGCAUGCACAAGCCGAUGCGAAGGUUUUCGUCAACGAAUUGGCGAUCGGACCAAAACGUUUUCCAAAAAGGGUUGUCUGAGUAUCCUUUUUUUGUACGUUCGGCUGCUAAAUUUCUCUGGAGUCUCAGUCCGCGCCCGUUUUCCCGAACACUCAGUUCGCGCCCGAACACUGUUGACAAAAUGGUUGGAAAACUCUAAUUAUAGACGGAUAUAGAAUUGUUCAUCUAAUUUGGGUAUAACUAAACUUGUCCCUGACAUUUACGCUAAUACAAUAUUUCCAGGUCCUGUUGCUCCACAUGUUUCACGUUUGUUUCCUACACUUAAAUACGAUGACAGGAAACUGGAAAUGACCUGCACAGGCACGGGGAUUCCUGAGCCUAAAGUGGCGUGGUUGUUAAAUGGUUCCAUGAUCGAUUACACAAGUACUGAAAAGGCGGUAAAUGUUGUGGUUGAUACCAAGCUAGCAGACUUGCAAAACGGGACAAAUUCAUAUCGUGUCAAUUCAAAAAUCGUUAUUACUGGCAGGAAAUUUCCGUUACAUAUUCAGUGCGUUGUCAAGAAUGAGAUGGAUGAAGUGUAUUCGGAGAAUGUCUACGCAUUGUACGUAGCAA
This 7262-nucleotide long non-coding RNA is filed under the name Paramuricea clavata. Lineage: Eukaryota; Metazoa; Cnidaria; Anthozoa; Malacalcyonacea; Plexauridae. The record is from RNAcentral.